UCACUGCUGCUGCUGGCAGUAAGACGAGUGCUUAGGGGCCGUAUACAAACUACAACACCAAAAAAAGAUACAACAAAAAUAUUUAAUAAUUUAACUUUUUUUUUGUUAAGUAUGUGCUGUAGUACAACUAGCAGGAUACAAGUUAUAAAGUUGUGGUAAGUUUAGAGACACUAUCUUAAUUAAUCAUUAAGUGU
Long non-coding RNA from Etheostoma cragini (Arkansas darter), 194 nucleotides. RefSeq lists it as uncharacterized. The transcript has 3 exons. NCBI's taxonomy places the organism in Eukaryota, Metazoa, Chordata, Actinopteri, Perciformes, Percidae. The record is from RefSeq and is a predicted model, not a curated record.